GAUGAACGCUGGCGGCGUGCCUAAUACAUGCAAGUCGAGCGAACGGACGAGAAGCUUGCUUCUCUGAUGUUAGCGGCGGACGGGUGAGUAACACGUGGAUAACCUACCUAUAAGACUGGGAUAACUUCGGGAAACCGUAGCUAAUACCGGAUAAUAUUUUGAACCGCAUGGUUCAAAAGUGAAAGACGGUCUUGCUGUCACUUAUAGAUGGAUCCGCGCUGCAUUAGCUAGUUGGUAAGGUAACGGCUUACCAAGGCAACGAUGCAUAGCCGACCUGAGAGGGUGAUCGGCCACACUGGAACUGAGACACGGUCCAGACACCUACGGGAGGAAGCAGUAGGGAAUCUUCCGCGAUGGGCGAAAGCCUGACGGAGCAACGCCGCGUGAGUGAUGAAGGUCUUCGGAUCGUAAAACUCUGUUAUUAGGGAAGAACAUAUGUGUAAGUAACUGUGCACAUCUUGACGGUACCUAAUCAGAAAGCCACGGCUAACUACGUG
RNAcentral lists this ribosomal RNA (497 nucleotides) under uncultured bacterium. Its description in RNAcentral is "partial 16S ribosomal RNA". It matches the Rfam family "Bacterial small subunit ribosomal RNA", at positions 28 to 507 of the family's 1533-position model. The record is from RNAcentral.